AACGAACGCUGGCGGCAUGCCUAACACAUGCCAGUCGAACGAGACCUUCGGGUCUAGUGGCGCACGGGUGCGUAACGCGUGGGAACCUGCCCUUAGGUUCGGAAUAACUCCCCGAAAGGGGUGCUAAUACCGGAUAAUGUCUUCGGACCAAAGAUUUAUCGCCUUUGGAUGGGCCCGCGUUGGAUUAGCUAGUUGGUAGGGUAAAAGCCUACCAAGGCGACGAUCCAUAGCUGGUCUGAGAGGAUGAUCAGCCACACUGGGACUGAGACACGGCCCAGACUCCUACGGGAGGCAGGAGUGGGGAAUAUUGGAACAUGGGGGGAAGCCUGAACCAGCAAUGCCGGGUGAGUGAUGAAGGCCUUAGGGUUGUAAAGCUCUUUUAACCGGGAUGAUAAUGACAGUACCGGGAGAAUAAGCUCCGGCUAACUCCGUG
Molecule: ribosomal RNA, 433 nt
Filed under: uncultured bacterium
Lineage: Bacteria
Description: partial 16S ribosomal RNA
Rfam family: Bacterial small subunit ribosomal RNA
Source: RNAcentral